UGGGGAAUCUCGCGCAAUGGACGAAAGUCUGACGCAGCGACGCCGCGUGGGUGAUGAAGGCCUUCGGGUUGUAAAGCCCUGUGGGGCGGGACGAAUUAGUAGAAGCUAAUACCUUCUAUGAUGACGGUACCGCCUUAGCAAGCACCGGCUAACUCUGUGCCAGCAGCCGCGGUAAGACAGAGGGUGCAAACGUUGUUCGGAAUUACUGGGCGUAAAGCGUGUGUAGGCGGUCAUGUAGGUCGGAUGUGAAAGCCCCAGGCUCAACCUGGGAAGUGCACCCGAAACCGCACGACUGGAGUAUCGGAGAGGUUGGUGGAAUUCUCGGUGUAGAGGUGAAAUUCGUAGAUAUCGAGAGGAACACCGGCGGCGAAGGCGGCCAACUGGACGAAUACUGACGCUGAGACACGAAAGCGUGGGGAGCAAACAGGAUUAGAUACCCUGGUAGUCCACGCCGUAAACGAUGGGUGCUAGGUGUCACGGGCUUUGACUCCUGUGGUGCCGUAGCUAACGCAUUAAGCACCCCGCCUGGGAAGUACGGCCGCAAGGCUA
Molecule: ribosomal RNA, 549 nt
Filed under: uncultured bacterium
Lineage: Bacteria
Description: bacterial SSU rRNA
Rfam family: Bacterial small subunit ribosomal RNA
Source: RNAcentral